AUUGAACGCUGGCGGCAGGCCUAACACAUGCAAGUCGAGCGAGCGGCGGACGGGUGAGUAAUGUAUGGGGACUGCCCGAUAGAGGGGGAUAACUACUGGAAACGGUAGCUAAUAACGCAUACUAUCGGAUAACCCAUAUGGGAUUAGCUAGUAGGUGAGGUAAUGGCUCACCUAGGCGACGAUCCCUAGCUGGGCUGAGAGGGGGGUCAGCGACACUGGGACUGAUACACGGACCAGGCUCCUACGGGGGCAGCAGUGGGGAAUAUUGCACAAUGGGCGCAAGCCUGAUGCAGCCAUGCCGCGUGUAUGAAGAAGGCCCUAGGGAUGUAAAGUACUUUCAGUCGGGAGGCGUUACCGACAGAAGAAGCACCGGCUAACUCCGUGCCAGCAGCCGCGGUAAUAC
This 403-nucleotide ribosomal RNA is filed under the name uncultured bacterium. RNAcentral describes it as "partial 16S ribosomal RNA". It matches the Rfam family "Bacterial small subunit ribosomal RNA", at positions 30 to 526 of the family's 1533-position model. The record is from RNAcentral.